This 450-nucleotide ribosomal RNA is filed under the name uncultured bacterium. RNAcentral's name for it is "SSU rRNA". It matches the Rfam family "Bacterial small subunit ribosomal RNA", at positions 26 to 518 of the family's 1533-position model. The record is from RNAcentral.
AGGAUGAACGCUGGCGGUGUGCCUAAUACAUGCAAGUCGAACGAGACCUUCGGGUCGAGUGGCGGACGGGUGAGUAACACGUUGGUACCUACCCCGAAGUGGGGAAUAACUGCCCGAAAGGGUGGCUAAUACCGCAUAAUACCGCAAGGUUAAAGCGAGUAAUCGCGCUUCGGGAGGGGCCUGCGUCCCAUUAGCUAGUUGGUAGGGUAAUGGCCUACCAAGGCGACGAUGGGUAGCUGGAUCGAGAGGUUGACCAGCCACACUGGGACUGAGAUACGGCCCAGACUCCUACGGGAGGCAGCAGUAAGGAAUCUUCCACAAUGGACGAAAGUCUGAUGGAGCAACACCGCGUGCAGGAUGACGGUCUUCGGAUUGUAAACUGCUUUUAUAUGGGAAGAUUAUGACGGUACCAUAUGAAUAAGGACCGGCUAACUACGUGCCAGCAGCCGC